UACCUUACUGUUGCCUCGGCGGAUCAGCCCGCUCCCGGUAAAACGGGACGGCCCGCCAGAGGACCCCUAAACUCUGUUUCUAUAUGUAACUUCUGAGUAAAACCAUAAAUAAAUCAAAACUUUCAACAACGGAUCUCUUGGUUCUGGCAUCGAUGAAGAACGCAGCAAAAUGCGAUAAGUAAUGUGAAUUGCAGAAUUCAGUGAAUCAUCGAAUCUUUGAACGCACAUUGCGCCCGCCAGUAUUCUGGCGGGCAUGCCUGUUCGAGCGUCAUUUCAACCCUCAAGCCCUCGGGUUUGGUGUUGGGGAUCGGCGAGCCUUUCUGGCAAGCCGGCCCCGAAAUCUAGUGGCGGUCUCGCUGCAGCCUCCAUUGCGUAGUAGUAAAACCCUCGCAACUGGAACGCGGCGCGGCCAAGCCGUUAAACCCCCAACUUCUGAAUGUUGACCUCGGAUCAGGUAGGAAUACCCGCUGAACUUAAGCAUAUCAAUAAGCGGAGG
Molecule: ribosomal RNA, 496 nt
Filed under: Fusarium sp. CJL-2014
Lineage: Eukaryota; Fungi; Ascomycota; Sordariomycetes; Hypocreales; Nectriaceae
Description: eukaryotic LSU rRNA
Rfam family: 5.8S ribosomal RNA (bases 118-271)
Source: RNAcentral